Molecule: long non-coding RNA, 1196 nt
Organism: Leucoraja erinaceus (little skate)
Lineage: Eukaryota; Metazoa; Chordata; Chondrichthyes; Rajiformes; Rajidae
Exons: 2
Source: RefSeq, a predicted model, not a curated record
GACCGAACUGAAUAAUAAAGAGAAAUACGUCAAACUGGGCACAGAAAUCAAAGGAAUUAGCAACACUGGUGAAUAAACAGUUUAAAAAAAAAGGUGAUGCUCAACAAGAGCUGAAGGCAGCCUUUGUCAUUUACGUUGUGCUCAUCAGCAAGUUACAACUCACCCUCAGUUUAUGUAUUUUUGAAAGAACAUUGAGGUGAAUUUAAAAACAAUGCUCCCACAACACCAUUGAGAAUACAUCGCACUGCAUGUCAAUAGAUACUAAUGAUCAGACAAAAUGGAGGUGAUCUUUUUUUAAUGCAGGAUCAAAGUAUCUUUCAAAAUACUUGCCAAAUAAAUCUGAUCAAGAAAAAUAAAAUUAAAAACAAUAUUAAAUAUGUAAUAUCAAAGUUUAAUUACUUCAACAUUCAACAAGAAUGUUAAAAUUGAAGAAUUAUCCCCCAUAUCUCUUUGUCCAUUAAUAGCAUUGUUAUGAUUAUUUCAGUACAUUAUCUGUAUUUCACAUACUGCUUCAAUGUCACGUCUAAUCAUCAUAUACAUCAGUCAGUUAUCAUGAAUAACAGCCCCAUACGGGGUCAAAGGUCAUAAACCAUUUACCUUUUCCACUGAUGUCAAUUGCAAAGAAGUUGCUUGUUUGAAAGCAAUGGGUAUUUUGAGCAUCUCAGAAAUUGUUUCUCAUCUCAUUAUCACGCCAUAUUUAUAUUUAACUUACUCCAUAGAUCAUUUGUCUAUUCUGUUGUUAGCUUCAAGCAAGGUUUACAAGCAAGUGUGUAGGAAGGAACUGCAGAUGCUGGUAUACAUCGAAGAUAGACACAAGAUGCUGGAGUAACUCAGCAGGACAAGCAGCAUCUCUGGAUAGAAGGAAUGGGUGACGUUUCGGGUCGAGACCCUUCUUCAGAGGUUUUACAAGCAAGUUGCUCGGUAUAUAAAGGAGACAACAUUUCUCCGAACAUGCAAGAAAGCUUAGUGACAGAGUGACAGAAUCAAAUGCAGAGCAGUGUGAAGUCACUUUAAAAUGAAUUCUCUUUUUGAAGGGAACAAGCUUAAAUAAAUAAAAUAUAGAGUGCUGUGAUAACAGGUUUAUGUUCCUCCAUGCUCUAUUUGUCAUGGGUGAGGGAAGUCUUUGAUAUUAAAAAAAAACAUGUCCAGUACUGACAGAGGAUACACAUGUAUUCUGGAAUGAGGUGUGCAAUGAC